Molecule: ribosomal RNA, 388 nt
Filed under: Agaricomycetes sp.
Lineage: Eukaryota; Fungi; Basidiomycota; Agaricomycetes
Description: partial small subunit ribosomal RNA
Rfam family: Eukaryotic small subunit ribosomal RNA
Source: RNAcentral
AUUCCAGCUCCAAUAGCGUAUAUUAAAGUUGUUGCAGUUAAAAAGCUCGUAGUUGAACUUCAGACCUGGCCGGGCGGUCUGCCUAACGGUAUGUACUGUCUGGCUGGGUCUUACCUCUUGGUGAGCCGGCAUGCCCUUCACUGGGUGUGUCGGGGAACCAGGACUUUUACCUUGAGAAAAUUAGAGUGUUCAAAGCAGGCCUAUGCCCGAAUACAUUAGCAUGGAAUAAUAAAAUAGGACGUGCGGUUCUAUUUUGUUGGUUUCUAGAGUCGCCGUAAUGAUUAAUAGGGAUAGUUGGGGGCAUUAGUAUUCAGUUGCUAGAGGUGAAAUUCUUGGAUUUACUGAAGACUAACUACUGCGAAAGCAUUUGCCAAGGAUGUUUUCAUCA